RNAcentral lists this ribosomal RNA (382 nucleotides) under uncultured eukaryote. Its description in RNAcentral is "partial 18S ribosomal RNA". It matches the Rfam family "Eukaryotic small subunit ribosomal RNA", at positions 592 to 976 of the family's 1831-position model. The record is from RNAcentral.
UGUAAGCGUAUACCAAAGUUGUUGCAGUUAAAACGCUCGUAGUCGGAAUUUGGCAGUUCCGGAAGUGUGCACGUCGUGUGCGCACUUUGCGGGGACUGCUUUUGUGGUUUUGCGUAGGAUGAGGCACUUUCAUUAGUGAACGUCCUCACGCGACCACUCUUUACUGUGAGAAAAUCAGAGUGCUCAAAGCAGGCAUUUGCCGUGAAUGUAUUAGCAUGGAAUAAUAGAAUAGGACUCGGUUCUAUUUUGUUGGUUUGUUGGGACUGAGUAAUGAUUAAGAGGGACAGUUGGGGGCAUUUGUAUUCCGGCGCUAGAGGUGAAAUUCUUAGAUUGCCGGAAGACAAACUGCUGCGAAAGCGUCUGCCAAGGAUGUUUUCAUUGA